AAGACCUUUAAAUGAAGUCCUGUGAGGCUCGAAAGGUCGCAAUGACUAGGCAACGUGUAUCGAUUGGACACGUCUACCUCUUUGCGAGCUUUCGCAAAGAGGUUUUUUUA
This is a regulatory RNA element of Pontibacillus chungwhensis BH030062, 110 nucleotides long. It matches the Rfam family "PyrR binding site". From Rfam's summary of the family: This family represents the PyrR binding site and terminator structure. This RNA structure is found upstream of a variety of genes involved in pyrimidine biosynthesis and transport. The alignment also includes a portion of the antiterminator structure. Lineage: Bacteria; Bacillati; Bacillota; Bacilli; Caryophanales; Bacillaceae. The record is from Rfam.